UCCCUGUUACCAGGGCAGUCUAGCUAGAGAAAUACAACUAACUAUAAGGGUUGCGCUCGUUAAAGGACUUAACCUAACAUCUCACGACACGAGCUGACGACGGCCAUGCAUCACCUGUCACUUGGUUCCAAAGGCACUCUCUCCUUUCGGAGAAAUUCCAAGGAUGUCAAGCCUGGGUAAGGUUCUUCGCUUACCAUCGAAUUAAACAACACGCUCCACCGCUUGUGCGGGUCCCCGUCAAUUCCUUUAUGUUUUAGUCUUGCGACCGUACUCCACAGGAGACUGCCGGGGUCAACUCGGAGGAAGGUGGGGAUGACGUCCCACAGAC
This 328-nucleotide unclassified non-coding RNA is filed under the name uncultured bacterium. RNAcentral's name for it is "contains 16S-23S intergenic spacer region". The record is from RNAcentral.